AAGGCAGCCAUGGUAUUGACAGAAAAAGACUCUGGAUUUGGAUUGCAGCUGUAGCAUUUAUUAAAUGCACGUCACAACCUCUCUGAGCUUCGUUUUCCCCACGUUUCAAAUGGGAUGCAGUGGACCCUGUUGCCUACCCGAGAACAACUUCAAAGCAACUUUGAGAGCCUUGUAUGGAAGAUGGCAACUUUGAGAGCCUUGUGUUGAAGAUGGCAAAGCCACAAGAUGGAAAGUGCUUGGGUUCUUGGAUCAUUGUAUGGAGGGGUUCUGCCCAACUAGGAUCACCCAGGCUGGAUUGUCAUAAUGCACAUGAAGUCCAGCCAUGGUGUAGCCAAGGAGACCCACUAAGACCACCAAAAGCUUGGAAAUGAGGAUGCAGGGGCA
This 384-nucleotide long non-coding RNA is filed under the name Homo sapiens (human). RNAcentral describes it as "non-protein coding LINC01281:8". Lineage: Eukaryota; Metazoa; Chordata; Mammalia; Primates; Hominidae. The record is from RNAcentral.